Molecule: ribosomal RNA, 497 nt
Filed under: uncultured bacterium
Lineage: Bacteria
Description: partial 16S ribosomal RNA
Rfam family: Bacterial small subunit ribosomal RNA
Source: RNAcentral
GAUGAACGCUGGCGGCGUGCCUAAUACAUGCAAGUCGAGCGAACAGACGAGGAGCUUGCUCCUCUGACGUUAGCGGCGGACGGGUGAGUAACACGUGGAUAACCUACCUAUAAGACUGGGAUAACUUCGGGAAACCGGAGCUAAUACCGGAUAAUAUAUUGAACCGCAUGGUUCAAUAGUGAAAGACGGUUUUGCUGUCUCUUAUAGAUGGAUCCGCGCCGCAUUAGCUAGUUGGUAAGGUAACGGCUUACCAAGGCAACGAUGCGUAGCCGACCUGAGAGGGUGAUCGGCCACACUGGAACUGAGACACGGUCCAGACUCCUACGGGAGGCAGCAGUAGGGAAUCUUCCGCAAUGGGCGAAAGCCUGACGGAGCAACGCCGCGUGAGUGAUGAAGGUCUUCGGAUCGUAAAACUCUGUUAUUAGGGAAGAACAAAUGUGUAAGUAACUAUGCACGUCUUGACAGUACCUAAUCAGAAAGCCACGGCUAACUACGUG